ACCUGGUCAGGCAUUUCAGCUUUAAUUACCUGGGUUGCUGUCAACAACCGAGAGCCCAGUGAAAACAAACCACUGCCGUGCUAUGUGAAGGGCCCUGACAUAGAACUCUCUAGUGUCGAAAUACAGCUCUUUUUCGUUUUUUUUUUUUUUUUUUUUUUUUUUUUUUUUUUAAUUCAAGGAUAUGAGGCAAGACAGAGAAAAGCAGAGGAAGAGAACGGAGGUGUCUGAUGCUGUGGGCCACUCUGCAAGUCCCUCCGUUGCCUGUUUCCAGCCGAAGGUUUACCGGUGCUGCCUCAUCUAUUCAUUCAGAACAAGAAGGCUCUGAAGGGCAUGGGCUUGAUGGCUACCAUCCAGUUCCCUAUGGGUGGUCCAGCAGCGUUCCAGUGUGGAUCACACAGAAUAGGCAGCUUGGACCACAGCCCUGGCUGCACCCGUCUCACCCAUCAGGGAGGACUGAGGAGUUGUGUAGAAACUCCAGAGGGACAGAAGCAUUCCCGAGGGGAGAGGUUCAGCGGCAGCAGAUCAGCUUCUCAGGGCCUCCAGGCACUGAGCUUCACCACGGAAUGGAACCAGCAGAGUCCACUCGCUGCUCUAGAGUGCACCUACAGGCCUCUCACCUGAUGUGGUAUUUUGCGGGGCCCUUCGGUGGAGUCGGUGUGGUGGUCCCACUUACCUGAGGUGGGCACACUGCUGGAAGGACUCUGCUCUGUGCACAGAAAGUCACUGCCCCAGUUCUAAGUCAGGAGGAAGAACGACACAGGACCAUCACUUACAUGCAGGAAAAUAUUGAAGUUUUGUAAUUGUGAAGCUCCUGGCUUCUGCGCCUCUUCCUCGUGCAGCUGUGUCUCCUUCUGCCUAUUUAACCCAGAGCCAUCGACCCCUCCUAUGUGCAGAAACGAACACCUGCCCCUCUUGGUGGCUCCUCUUGUCCUUGCCGCUAACACAGAGUGGAUUUUCCAGGUGCCUCCGCCAUACUGAGUGUGGCGGGAGGGGGAAGGCACAGAAACGGCAAUCCAAGGAGACUGCUGGAACACUGAUGUUCUCCACAUAUGUGCACAAUUGGUGUGCAGUAGCACCUCUCCACAGAAGUUUGACUGAUUUUUAUCGAAGCGUGAGUGACUGCCCAAGCCUUGGAAAGGUCAUCUGAAGAGAAGCCUGCUGAAGACAUCCCCCCUCAGCCACCGAGGAGAAACUGUCAGUCGAAACACAACUUUCACCUCAAAGGAAGGGAGGCUAACUGUCAAUCAAAACACAACUCUUGCCUCAGAGGGAGGAAGUUGAUUUUUCAGAAGAAGAGAGAGAGAAGAGAGUGACCAUGGCCCAGGAACAUAGAUUUAGGUUGCCUCAAAUAACAUGUUCCAAUGUAGAAAUGGUUCUGUGAAGUUUUUAUAGUCUCAGAACAAAAGAGGUACAUUGAUGGAAACGUCAGAUGUCUGAGUUACAGCGAGGAAGGAAAGUGUCCUCUCAGAUGCUACCUGAUGACAUUUUUAGCUUUGGUGCUCAUGAAAGCAAGUGGUCCACCUGUUCAAUCACUGUAUUUUUUUUUUAAGUUUCCCCUGAUAAUCACAAGGAUUUAGGUUGAGCACAGAAUUAGACAAUGAAUAGCUACUAAGGGGACUAAAAAAAAAAAAAAAAAAAAAAGCACA
Molecule: long non-coding RNA, 1646 nt
Organism: Meriones unguiculatus (Mongolian gerbil)
Lineage: Eukaryota; Metazoa; Chordata; Mammalia; Rodentia; Muridae
Exons: 3
Source: RefSeq, a predicted model, not a curated record